Molecule: ribosomal RNA, 774 nt
Filed under: uncultured Neocallimastigales
Lineage: Eukaryota; Fungi; Neocallimastigomycota; Neocallimastigomycetes; Neocallimastigales
Description: partial large subunit ribosomal RNA
Rfam family: Eukaryotic large subunit ribosomal RNA
Source: RNAcentral
UAUCUCUGUAGAGUCUGCAUAUCAAUAAGCGGAGGAAAAGAAACUAACUAGGAUUCCCUCAGUAACGGCGAGUGAAGCGGGAAGAGCUCAAAUUUGAAAUCUUCAAGGUUCUACCUUGACGAACUGUAGUUUAAAGAAGUGUUUUCUGUUGGAGUUUUGGUAAAAGUUCUUUGGAAUAGGACAUCAUAGAGGGUGAGAAUCCCGUAUUUGACCAUUAUUUCCAGCUUUGUGAUACACUUUCAAAGAGUCGGAUUGUUUGGGAAUGCAGUCCAAAAUGGGUGGUAAAUUUCAUCUAAAGCUAAAUAUUGGCGAGAGACCGAUAGCGAACAAGUACCGUGAGGGAAAGAUGAAAAGAACUUUGAAAAGAGAGUUAAACAGUACGUGAAAUUGUCAAAAGGGAAGCGUUUGACACCAGUGUUGUUUUCUCGAAAAUCAAUUAAAAAAGGCAGGAUUUUGUGUUGUAUUGACUUUAUCAGCUUUCUGCACUCUUUUCUUGUCUUUUUUAAUGCACUUUUCGUUUAACAAGUCAACAUCGAUUUCUUUUGUUGUAAAAGGGUCAUUGGAAGGUGGCUUUCUUUUCGGAGAAAGUGUUUAUAGCCUUUGGCCUCUGCAAUCGGAGAGAUUGAGGUCUGCAGCGUAGAUCCUUCGGGGUUAGAUACAUUUGUGCUAAGUUAUAGCCUUUCAUAGACAACUUGUUGACUAUGAUCAGUCAUGUAGCUUACUCGCUUAUGCUAUUUUACCUACGCUUAGGAUGUUGAAGUCAUCGUAUCGCGC